This 691-nucleotide ribosomal RNA is filed under the name uncultured fungus. RNAcentral's name for it is "eukaryotic LSU rRNA". The stretch from base 220 to 373 matches the Rfam family "5.8S ribosomal RNA". The record is from RNAcentral. Lineage: Eukaryota; Fungi.
CUUGGUCAUUUAGAGGAAGUAAAAGUCGUAACAAGGUUUCCGUAGGUGAACCUGCGGAAGGAUCAUUCAUAAUAAAGUGUUUUAUGGCACUUUUUAAAAAUCCAUAUCCACCUUGUGUGCAAUGUUAGAUCUCGUCAAUCUUGGCGAGGUUUUUAUACAUCAACUCAUUCCUUAACUAAUUUGUCUGAAAAAUAUUAUGAAUAACUUAAUUCAAAAUACAACUUUCAACAACGGAUCUCUUGGCUCUCGCAUCGAUGAAGAACGCAGCGAAAUGCGAUACGUAAUGUGAAUUGCAGAAUUCAGUGAAUCAUCGAAUCUUUGAACGCAUAUUGCGCUCUCUGGUAUUCCGGAGAGCAUGCUUGUUUGAGUAUCAGUAAACACCCUCAGAACUUCUUGAUUUUCGAAUCUUGGAGCUCUGGAUUUGAGUGAUCCCAACGCGUUCUUAUGUAGAACAUGGCGGGCCACUUGAAAUGCAGGUGCAGCUGGACUUUCUUCUGAGCUAAAAGCAUAUUUAUUUAGUCCUGUCAACACUUGUGUUGCGGAUUAUUACUUCUGCUGCAGCUAACAUAAAGGUUGAUUGUUCAAAUGCUGACUGAUGCAGGAUUUAUCAGUAGCGCAAGCGAUCUGUUAAACUCGAUCUCAAAUCGAGUAAGACUACCCGCUGAACUUAAGCAUAUCAAUAAGCGGAGGA